RNAcentral lists this ribosomal RNA (96 nucleotides) under Pteropus alecto (black flying fox). Lineage: Eukaryota; Metazoa; Chordata; Mammalia; Chiroptera; Pteropodidae. The record is from RNAcentral.
CUACCCUGAACAAUCCUGAUCCCAUCUGAUCUUGGAAGCUAAGCAGAGUUGGGCCUGGUUAGUACUUGGAUGGGAGACCACCUAGGAGCUGUAGGC